Molecule: ribosomal RNA, 492 nt
Filed under: uncultured bacterium
Lineage: Bacteria
Description: partial 16S ribosomal RNA
Rfam family: Bacterial small subunit ribosomal RNA
Source: RNAcentral
AGUGAACGCUGGCGGUAGGCCUAACACAUGCAAGUCGAACGGCAGCACAGUAAGAGCUUGCUCUUACGGGUGGCGAGUGGCGGACGGGUGAGGAAUACAUCGGAAUCUACUUUUUCGUGGGGGAUAACGUAGGGAAACUUACGCUAAUACCGCAUACGACCUACGGGUGAAAGCAGGGGAUCUUCGGACCUUGCGCGAUUGAAUGAGCCGAUGUCGGAUUAGCUAGUUGGCGGGGUAAAGGCCCACCAAGGCGACGAUCCGUAGCUGGUCUGAGAGGAUGAUCAGCCACACUGGAACUUAGACACGGUCCCGACUCCUACGGGAGGCCGCAGUGGGGAAUAUUGGACAAUGGGCGCAAGCCUGCUCCAGCCAUACCGCGUGGGUGAAGAAGGCCUUCGGGUUGUAAAGCCCUUUUGUUGGGAAAGAAAAGCAGCAGGUUAAUACCCCGCUGUUCUGACGGUACCCAAAGAAUAAGCACCGGCUAACUUCGUG